GGCUUCGUAGCUCAGCUGGUAGAGCGCUUGCCGUGUAGAGGCAUGGUGUUUGUGUCGCUGGUUCGAAUCCAGCCGAAGCCG
Molecule: transfer RNA, 81 nt
Filed under: Paragonimus heterotremus
Lineage: Eukaryota; Metazoa; Platyhelminthes; Trematoda; Plagiorchiida; Troglotrematidae
Rfam family: tRNA
About the family: Transfer RNA (tRNA) molecules are approximately 80 nucleotides in length. Their secondary structure includes four short double-helical elements and three loops (D, anti-codon, and T loops).
Source: Rfam by way of RNAcentral